Molecule: long non-coding RNA, 4973 nt
Organism: Balaenoptera ricei (Rice's whale)
Lineage: Eukaryota; Metazoa; Chordata; Mammalia; Artiodactyla; Balaenopteridae
Exons: 2
Source: RefSeq, a predicted model, not a curated record
CAUGGUACUUGGCACAAGUCACAAUGCUAAGCUAUAUUUUCUGAAUGGAUAGAUGAAUAAUCAGAAAGGGGAGGUGAAGAGAGAGAAAACUGACCCUUAACAUUUGCAGCAUUGUAAAUGUUAAUAUUUUUAUUCCUUUUAUGAUGAAGAGAGUGCAAAGGGCUGGGGACGGAGACAUCACAGGAGGAGGAAAGAUAAUGCCACCUCUGCAAAAGACACUCCUAAACGACACAUAGAAGAGAAGUAGACGCCCCAGGACAGCCUUUCCCAUCCAGAAUAUUGAGACCAAUCCAAAAUGAGAAACUGAAUGCCCAAGACCACAGAGCUCCGAGAUGAUAGAAACAGGAGCUGCAAAUCAAAGUUUCCUGAUUCUAAGACCAGAGCCCCUUCCACCACACUCCAGCUCAGCCUCACUAAAAAAUUCCAGUUUCAUCUUGUUCCACACAGGACCCACAUGUUCUACAGCCUGGGUCAACCCAGGCUUGAGAAGACUCCCCAAGAACAACUGAGGCAUGCUCUGAGAUGGCAAAAUGCCACUCAUGGAACCCAGGUAAAGCUUCCAAGCAGUUGUUAGUGAGGGACCAGCAUGCACACUUCAGAAUCUGCCAACUGAAGAAGUGAUUUUCAACAGAGAAACCCUAACAAAACAGCAGUGUUACAAGUCACUCAGCCAUGACAGAAGCACUUUUUAAAGACUGCGCUCCAAUUAGCAAGUGUCUUUAGCAGACCCUAUGUACUGUUGUCACAUCUGUGUUCAAGAUUCCUCGUCCCCUUUUAAAAUAAGCCUGCAAGCUAGUGUAGUUAUACAAGGCAGCCAAAUUGCACGAAACUGUCAACUCUUCCUCCGGAACAGAUUAAGACCCUGCAGCCAACGGGAAGAUAUAACUGCUCCCCAUUUUAUGAGCAAUUUCUUUCCUUCCAGAUUUUUCAGAGACUGGAGUCUAAACUCAAAGCAAUAAUCAUCCAACAAAAAUGCCUCUGGGAUAACUGGGAUCAGUUCUGGGGCAGCUGAGUCCUACUGUUUUUCAUGUUUGUACAUUUUUUACUCUGUGAUUAAUGGAGGAACAGAUGAGAAAACAGAGGGUGGAAAGGGAGAAAGAAAACAGAUAUCAUUUGACUCUGCAUACUCAAAAAUGUAGAAGAAGGGAAGGUGGAAGAGAGAUCGUGCCGGUCAGCUUCUCAUUCGACCCGCAUUGGUCAAACAAAAUCAUAUAAUUUCUACUCCCUCUCAUGCUUUUCUUCAAAUAGUUUGGGAGUUAAUGACAAACCAGUCACACGCUGGCAAGUUUGAAACUAAACAUAACUUGCCUUCUCUCCCUAGCAGGGGUAAACACAAGAAUCAACAGAAUGAAAGAAAAAUCCAACUGUCUUUUCAGAGCCAAGCAGAGGAAAGAGAAUUGGAGCCAUGGAGCCUUGCGAGAUCAUGCAGUCUGACCGCUCACUUUCCAAAUGCGGUGGGAGCCUAGAGAGCUGAACCCGUGGUUCAAGGUCACCCGGCAAGUUGUCUUUAGAACCAGGAUCUAAAUCCAGGCCUCCUGAUUCAGAGCCCAGGGUUCUUCCUUUGGGAUUUAAGAAAUCAUCUGAGUGUGUUUUGCUGUGGCUCUACAAGGGGAACAUUAGAGAGGGGCCCCACCCAUAUAAUAGCCCCCUAAGUUGGAGGAUUAGACAGACAGUUGUAAUUUGGUCAUCCCCAUGCUCUGUGCCAGGCAACUGGCCUGGCUACUGGGAACCACUGGAGACUGUCAGUCAUUGAGGUGAGGCUGGAUUCUGAGCCAGCCAUCUGUCAGAAGGGGUUUUGGAUAAUUAAAUCAGCUCACUAGAGGCAGUGGGGGGGAUGGGAAAGACCCAAUAAUGGGGCCCCCGACCUGAAGCUGCCUGUGUGACCCUCUCCCCAUCCCUUCCACAGGCUGGCUGAGCCCCUCCUCAGUCAUGGUAGUAAUCAAGCUGGUCCAAUCCCUCCAGGGCUGGCUACUGCUGUGAUUUGCAGAGCCCUCCCUCCCCAGGAUGAAGAACUGCCCUGAGUCCAGUCCUGUGGCCCCGGCUGUGCUGACUGAGCCCACACUGGGCAGAGGGAGCAGACUCUCAAGUCUGUCUCACCCAUCACCAUGGCUAAGCACAUACACUUUGGAGCUGAGACUCACUGGAUCCAAAUCCUUGCUCUACCACUUCCCAGCUGAGGAAACCCCUGAUCUCUAGACUGCGUUCUGUCUACCUAUAAAAUGACUUCGAGAUUUGUUUUGAGCAUUAAAUGAGAUAAUCCAUAUAAAUCACCCAGCAUGGUGCUUGCUCAGGGUAAGCACUCAAUCAAUGGCCGCUGUUUUUGUUACUGAGGGGUCCCCUCCAUCCAUCAGUCUUUUCCUCUUGAUCUCCCAUCAUUGUUCUGUGUGCUGCUGGAGUGACCCUCAGAGUCUUGUGCUUGACCACCCCUAACCCCCAUUAUACCACAUGCGUGCUGGGAGUCCUCAUAGAAUCUUCUCUCUACAGUUACCAUAACAGCAACCUGCCAGUUGGGCUUCCUCUUCCCCAGGCUGACCUUCCACAGGGUCUGUUUCCACCCAUUUCCCCGACCCACCCAGUGGUCCUGCUUUCAUCCUGGCUGCUGUGAUUAACUGGCCUCACAGACCAUAGCUCCUAGGAUGGGCUCUGACCAAGUACUAGGGUAAGACAGUCACACGGCACAGUGAAGACACAGGCUCAGACCAUUUCCAUGUCCUUAACCACGGCAGAGCCCAGUCAGAAGAGAACAGUCCUUCUCCCCAAAAGACUUUAUAGUAAACUAUUUCCCAGCAAUGAAACCCAUUUUAAAUUCAGACAGAGAGAAGGACCUUGGUACUCAAAACUGAGAGAGCACAUUUAAUCGGGGCAGGAGAGAGCUACUUAAUUUCACUUCUCUUUGCCUAAGCUUCUUUGACCCCUCUCCCCAUUCGUUUGCUCUCAAUCAAUAUUUCUCAAACUGUCUGUGGUGAACGUCCCAUUGUUUCUUUUCCCCAAACUAUUGGGUACCAAUACUUUUGUAAAACAGUCAAAAUAAAUUACUACCAAACUAAGAUGUCACUUGGAUGUCACAGCAAUGUUAAAUUGCUAUAAAGUUCCAGAAAUACUUUCAAUUUCUGUACUUAACUUUCGGCGAACUGGUAAACGUUUCGCAGACCCAUACUAGUCCUGGACCAAACUGAGAGUAGGGCUGCUUCUGGAAGGAACAGAACCACAGAGGAGUCCAUCUGCCACGGACACCCCCCAUUCUGGGUUUUUGCCCUGUAAUGCAGUCUGCCCAGCAGUGGCCCUGCCCCACCCAGAGCAUGCAAUGGAAAGGUUCCUUGUAGAACUUGCCCAGUCUCCAGUAAGUGCUGUUCCCUGAGCGUCAAGCAUCCCCCAGUGAGAGGGAUAUGCUGCGAUAAUACCGGCCGUGUGCAGCCUGCUGGCUCUUACCAUUCCAUUCCAGCCCUGUUGAUCUCCUCCCACCAGCAUUCUGUAGGCUCCCCGAGGCUCUGAGGCGUGGGCAUGCAGGCGUAGUUCCACUGUCUGUCAGAACCUUCCUUCUUGUUGAAGAUGCUCUUCACGGCCACCACCACCUCCCCAUGGGGACACUGGUAGCUGAAGCCCUGCCGGUUCAGAUUCACCCACCCAUCAUCACUAUAGUCAUGGUACUGCUGGUAUGAGUACGCGUAGUCGUCAUACUGUCCCCAGGCCACGGUGACCAGUGGCAGAAGCACCCACAGAAGAGCAAGGUCCAUGCUGUCUGGGUUUCUGGCAAAAAAUGUCACCCUGUGUCUGCUGGGCUGCUGGUUUUAUAGAGCUGCUGCUGACAUGUGGCUUCCAGAUGUGGGUGAGCAGGCUCCAACUGCAGUGUGUCAUCGUUUAAGCAAAACUUUUCAGCGUGGAGAUAUUGGCCGUAAGUACAUUCAGUUUGUUUUAAGGUGGAAUUCUAAGAAAACGUACGGAACACGCAAAUGGAAGAAACUCCCUAGAGAAGGAACAACUUAGCAGAUAGAUUAUAGAAGCAAAUGGCUUCACACUCCUCAGAAACAUUCACUUGAAAAAAGGAGCAAAUUUAUCCCACAUCUCUUAGCACUUCACUUCUCUCUUCCCUACCCCACCCACCACUAGCAAACCCCUGUAUUUGUUCUCCAAACCAGCCUUCCAGGACCACACAAAUAUGCAGAAAGUGAUUUCAAAACACCAAAAUAAUAGGUUGAAGGGUCAGAGUUAUUUAGAUUUCUGCAAGGCUAGAUGCCUGCUCUAAGUUCUCAGCCCAACAUCUUUUAACCCCGAGUAUAAGCACGGAAUGCCAGUUUGCAGGCUACUCUGAGAAUUUUUAAGUCACAUAUGGAAGUACUAUGGGCCCCUGGAGAGAUAAGUUGGGCAUUAUCACUACAUUUAAGCAUCCUUCUGAGCUGCUGAAAUUGGACCCAUCUACACCUAGAAACUGUGCUCGGCUGUCAAAUACAUCAUGAGUUUAAUUUAAAUAAAACCACUUUUUAUUCUUUGGUGGUUUUCCCCUCUGUGUUGAGUUUUCUUUUUAAUGAGGUAUAAUUUACGUAUAAUAAAAUUCAUCUCUUCCAAUGUUCAGCAUACAGUCAUUCAACCAGUACCAUAAUCAAGACACAAAACAGUUCCCUCAACCCUCUAGGCCCCUUAUGCCCCUUGGUAGUCAAGUCCUUCCCAAUACCCAGCCCCUGGUAACCACUGAUCUACUUUCUGUCACUGUAGUUUUGCCUUUUCCAGGAUGUCAAAUAGAUGGAAUCAUACAAUAUGUUGUCUUUUGUCUGACUCCUUUCACUAGGAAAAAUGCUUUCUGGAUCCAUCCAUAUUGUUGUGUGUUAGUGUCAAUAGUUCAUUCCUUUACACUGUUGAGUGGUAUUCUAUGGUAUGGCGGUACUACAGACUGCUUAUACAUUUACCAGUUGAAAGACAUUUGUUUUUUUCCCUAGCUUUUAGUAAUUAUGAAUAAAACUACUAUAAACAUCCAUGAA